Molecule: ribosomal RNA, 490 nt
Filed under: uncultured bacterium
Lineage: Bacteria
Description: bacterial SSU rRNA
Rfam family: Bacterial small subunit ribosomal RNA
Source: RNAcentral
GAUGAACGCUGGCGGCGUGCUUAACACAUGCAAGUCGAACGGAGUUUACAUGUGAGCGGAGGGUGCUUGCAUCUAACAAUCUUUGUAAACUUAGUGGCGGACGGGUGAGUAACGCGUGGGUAACCUGCCGUAUGCAGGGGGACAACAGUCGGAAACAGCUGCUAAUACCGCAUAACAUAGAGAUAUUGCAUGUUAACUCUAUCAAAGAUUUAUCGCUUGCAGAUGGGCUCGCGUCUGAUUAGGUAGUUGGUGGGGUAACGGCCUACCAAGUCGACGAUCAGUAGCCGGACUGAGAGGUUGAACGGCCACAUUGGGACUGAGAUACGGCCCAGACUCCUACGGGAGGCAGCAGUGGGGAAUAUUGGGCAAUGGGGGAAACCCUGACCCAGCAACGCCGCGUGAAGGAAGAAGGCCCUCGGGUUGUAAACUUCUUUUACCAGGGACGAAGAAAGUGACGGUACCUGGAGAAAAAGCAACGGCUAACUACGUG